ACCCAAAUAUCUAAACGGUAAGAUUCAAUAUUGAAGGUAACUUCAAUGUGCACUUCUUACUUAGUAAGACGCUGUGAUCCAUUAGAAAUUGACCAUUCCAAUGGUUAUUUGGCCAUCAUUGGGUUGACGUUAAGUUCACUAAUGCAAAUGACUUGAUCUUAUAUGGUUGGGUGUAUUGUAUGGUGAGUUCGUUGAAUCCCGUAUGGCUGUCUGAUGGAUUUUAAAGGUUAUAACAUUGAUGCAAUUUUUUGUAUCACCCAUAUGUGGGAAUGGUUAUAUACUCGAUCAACAGCGGUUAAAUUUGGGAUACCUUUUGGACCCGUCUUGAAACACGGACCAAGGAGUCUAUCUAUUACGCAAGUAAAUGAGUAUAUGAAACUUAUUUGCAUAAAAAACUUGACUGUUAUGGGAUUACGAGCGAAUAUGCUUCUCCAUCCCGGGGUAUUUUUAUCAACACAUGCAGUAAUGUAUGUGGAAAAUAUACCAUGAGCGUAGUGGAUAUGACCCGAAAGAUGGUGAACUAUGCCUGAUCAGGUUGAAGUCAGGGGAAACUCUGAUGGAGGACCGAAGCAGUUCUGACGUGCAAAUCG
This 590-nucleotide ribosomal RNA is filed under the name Parapsectrocladius acuminatus. RNAcentral describes it as "eukaryotic LSU rRNA". It matches the Rfam family "Eukaryotic large subunit ribosomal RNA", at positions 386 to 900 of the family's 3401-position model. Lineage: Eukaryota; Metazoa; Arthropoda; Insecta; Diptera; Chironomidae. The record is from RNAcentral.